RNAcentral lists this ribosomal RNA (693 nucleotides) under [Eubacterium] sulci. RNAcentral's name for it is "partial 23S ribosomal RNA". It matches the Rfam family "Bacterial large subunit ribosomal RNA", at positions 2141 to 2925 of the family's 2925-position model. Lineage: Bacteria; Bacillati; Bacillota; Clostridia; Peptostreptococcales; Anaerovoracaceae. The record is from RNAcentral.
GGAUAGGCCGGAGGCUUUGAAGCAUGCACGCUAGUGUGUGUGGAGCCAUCCUUGAAAUACGGCCCUUUGGCUGUCUGAGGUCUAACGCGCCUAUGGUGCGGACACUGCUUGGUGGGUAGUUUGACUGGGGUGGUCGCCUCCAAAAGCGUAACGGAGGCUUCCAAAGGUGCCCUCGGGCCGAUUGGUAACCGGCCUUAUAGAGUGUAAUGGCAUAAGGGCGCUUGACUGGGAGGCAGACAUGCCGAGCAGGCAGGAAACUGGGGCAUAGUGAUCCGGUGCAAGUGUAUGGAAACUGCAUCGCUCAAAGGAUAAAAGGUACUCCGGGGAUAACAGGCUGAUCCCCCCCAAGAGCUCAUAUCGACGGGGUGGUUUGGCACCUCGNNNNNNNNNNGUUCAGAACGUCGUGAGACAGUUCGGUCUCUAUCUAUCGUGGGCGUUGGAGUUUUGCGUGGUGCCGCCACUAGUACGAGAGGACCGUGGUGGACAGACCUCCGGUUUACCAGUUGUGCCGCCAGGUGCACCGCUGGGUAUCUGAGUCUGGAUUGGAUAAGCGCUGAAAGCAUCUAAGUGCGAAGCCAGCCGCAAGAUGAGAACUCCUCAUAAGGGUCGUCAUAGACGAUGACGUUGAUAGGGUGUAGGUGUAAAGACGGUGACGUCAAAGCCGAGCACUACUAAUUGCCCGAAACUUUCAUU